GGGGAUUUAGCUCAGUGGUAGAGCGCUUCCCUAGGAAGCGCAAGGCCCUGGGUUCAGUCCCCA
Non-coding RNA from Rattus norvegicus (Norway rat), 63 nucleotides. NCBI's taxonomy places the organism in Eukaryota, Metazoa, Chordata, Mammalia, Rodentia, Muridae. The record is from Rfam.